This 787-nucleotide long non-coding RNA is filed under the name Nicotiana benthamiana. RNAcentral's name for it is "long non-coding RNA (NBEN_LNC015255)". Lineage: Eukaryota; Viridiplantae; Streptophyta; Magnoliopsida; Solanales; Solanaceae. The record is from RNAcentral.
AAGAACAAUCUGCGGAAGCUCUAAUCAAGGAGAAAUAGAGGAAUCAAUUUGUCGAGAUUAAGGAUGAAUCUAGUUACCCUUUCAAGCUAGAUUCAUGAGGCUACCCUUGGGUCUCACUCUUAUAUGUCUAUGCCUCAUCACAAGGAAAGGUCUCCAAUAAUUGCUGCCAUACAAUUCUAGAUGAUAAGGAAACAGAGGACUCAUCAAGCUAUAAAGGAAGAAGAAGAAUGACCUCGAAGGGCACGUAACUACAUCAUAUGUUUCUACACCUUUCUAUUUCAUAGUACAAAACUGUAUUCUUGAGUUUAGAAGUGUCGCAAUAGAUGGAAGAGUUAGAAAACAAAACGAGAGUAGAGUGAGAAAACAAAAUGAGAGUUGUGUCAACAUUAGAAAGAAACGGUGUUGUUGUCUAUCGUUGGUAGUGAACAUACUAAAAUCAUCACUGUUGUAAACUUUUAGCGAAAAUCUAAGAAAAUCUUUGCUCCGUUUAUUUCUACUGCAAUUAAUCAAUGUAUAAAGUCUAGUCGAAUACUGCUCAGUUUGUGGAUCAACAAAUGCACGAUGAGUUUCCUACAAUGUUGGAGAGUUACUUUACACCUAAUAUGGCAAUAUUCGUAAGGAUGGGACAUGAGUGGGACCUCAACUCUAGAGAAUUCACGAACUCCUCUAGAGAAGUAGAAGGUAAGUACUUCGAUUUACUUGCCAAUAUAAUGCGAGGCUCUUGUUUUUCGCAUCCGUUAGACCAGAUGGAAAAGUUAAUAGAGGGAUGUUUUUGGUUAAGUUUGGG